UCCCCUUGUAUGAACAACUGAUUUCCAAAAGAAUAUGAAGUAAUCCUGGUAUAGUAUAUUUGGUCAAAAUAUUAUACCCUGGAAUAGGAUAACUAUAUUUUGUAUGUACAUAUCUUAGCUAUGUGAAAGUAUGGACAAAACUCUAUGGAGAAUGAUAAAAACAACUUCUAUAUUUUCUCAGUUUAAUUUUUUUUUUUCAAAAUGCUUCUUACAUAUUAAAAUCUGAUCGAAACAAUGAAAAUAACAAAACAAUAAAUAAAUAAAUAUAUACAUAAAUUCAUUACAAAUUCAACAAAAUACAUAAUGUAGAUACUGCAAUAAAAAAAAGUAUGACUCAUGACUUAAAUAAAAUGAUAAUUGUGACUGAAACAUUUAUUAAAGUUAGGAAUGUCUGUUAUAAUAUUUUUUUUAAAAUGAAAUGAGAUCUGAUUUAUGGACAUUUGUUAUAACAUUAUUUUUGUUAUCACAACUCUGCACAAUAACCAUGUUUAUCUUUUUAAUUUGACUAGUGAAUGCAGGUAUGUACAAUCUUGUUUCUGUUUCUAUUAUUCUUCAACAAUUUAUUCUUUACCCGACUUUAGUUAUUGAAAGUGUGUUUUGUUUGAUUUCAGUUCUUCAAAUUUUCUUACUUUCUUUUAAAUUUCCUACUGUUAUUUUGAAGUCAGGGAAAAAUGCAACCAUGUCUGAUGAUGUAUCAUAGAAAGAACACAUCUUUUUGCAGAUCAUUGGAAAAGAAGGAAUAAGUUUGUCUGCAGAUCUUCUAAAAAUCGUUAUAGAAACAGAUUCUACCACCAAAUCUCAUGCAACUUGGUAUUUCUCCACUCUAAAAAGUUGAAUUUUCUAUAUUCUAAACUCUUGGUGAGCCUCAGGACAGAAAUAUUGCAUCACACCAAAUGCAGUGGUAUUAUCUAUAUUUACAUUUUUAUCAAGUAGACAUGAGAGAAUAUAAUGUGUGUACUCUUUUAGAGUAAUAAUGAAAUAUACACGAUCUGAUGUUUUUUGUAAGUACAGUUUAUGUUCUUCACAACGCUAUGAAAACAUUUAAAACAUAUAUAUAAAUGAAAACAGAUGCACCGAUAUUGAAGCGAUAGUUUGUAGUUAAAAAUACACAAAAUAUGACUUCAAUAAAACAAGUACCCUUUGUUAUGCAUAAGGAGCAAAAAAAUUGUCGCAAGUUUCAAGGGUGAAAAAGAGAAUGAGUGAGUUUUAUACACAUCAAAAGAUGGUAAGUUAAAUGAUUAAAACUUCAUAUGAAAUUCUUACUUUCAAAAUUUGAAGAUGUAUCUUUUUUGCUAUUUCAUAUCUUAAGAAUUUUGGAAAUGAAAAAACACACACAAUUUAGAUUUAUCAUGAUAAUCUGUUUCAAAGAAUUGGUAUUCAAUUGCAAAUUUAAUAAUACUGAUCUUUUUUAAUUUUCAAGUUGGCUAUCUUGGCUGAUUAUCCAUCAUAAUUAUCCUAAUUUUCACAGACAUUGUAAUUUCAAAGAUAUGAUACUUUUAAACUGUUUUGAUUCAGCAUUGAUGGCUAUGUUAAUUUUUUUGCAGCACAACACAACAUUAAAUUAAAAUAUACAUCAUACAUGUAAUUCAGGUCAUAUUUAAGAUAUGGAAUGUGUUACCUAACAAUUGACCAAAAUGAGACAUGUAUUAAAACAAAUGAAAUUGUGUUAUCUGGUUAUCAUAGGUGCACAUAGAAAUCAAACAUGGAGAAAAGAGUUUGUUUUCCUGAUUAAAAAAAUGUUUUGGCAUAGAACAGAACAAUGUUAUAAAGUCACAAAGAAAGUGAGUAUAUUUAUAUAUGAAAUACUGAAUGCACUUUCAGCCCCAAAAAAAUCUGUAAAUGCAUUAAAUUGCAUGCAAAAUCAAACAAAUAUAAUUUAACAUGUUUCUUUAAAUGUAGAUUUUUAA
This 1907-nucleotide long non-coding RNA is filed under the name Mytilus galloprovincialis (Mediterranean mussel). Lineage: Eukaryota; Metazoa; Mollusca; Bivalvia; Mytilida; Mytilidae. The record is from RNAcentral.